Molecule: long non-coding RNA, 2887 nt
Filed under: Homo sapiens (human)
Lineage: Eukaryota; Metazoa; Chordata; Mammalia; Primates; Hominidae
Description: HSALNT0272381
Source: RNAcentral
UGUCACCUCAUCUAAUAUAGAUCAUCAAGAUAGGUUGAAAGGGGAGUUCGUAGUCAUCUCUUCUAAUCAGGAGAUCCCUGAAAGCCGAACAUUUAAAUGUUCUCUUCUUGAAAUAAAAAUACCAUAGUUUUAGUUAGGAAUGUGCUAUGUUGAAAAUAACAGAAAAACUGACCUCUGUGGCUUAAACAAGUAAGGAUUUAUUUUCCUUCCGUAGCUGGAGGAAGGGAGGUGCAGCUUUGGCUCAGCUCUUAACAGUGCAACAUCUAGUGCCUCUAUAGUUCUCUUGGACACAGAUGGCUGCUUUCGAAGAAGAAAGAAGUGGAAAGUGAUGGAGUUUCUAUGCUCCAGCUCUCUUUGCCUGCUGCCAUCCACGUAAGAUGUGACUUGCUCCUCUUUGCCUUCUGCCAUAAUUGUGAGCCCCCCUCAGCCAUGUGGAAUGAUGGAAAACAGAACAAGCCAUGGAGGCCCCAGGGAUCAGGCAGGGCCAAGAGGAUCUGAUGGCGGAAGGGGGAGCACAUCAACAAGACCUUACAAGGCAACUUGCAUGGAUGCUCUGAAGCAACUUUGAGGUCUCCUUGAUGAGGAAAGUUGGCUCAACCUGCUGUAGAGUAGGCCCACAGCCAAGCCAUUGAGAGACAAGUCCAUGGGAGACAAAUUAGCUCAUGCAGCUGAGAUGUCCUGGAGAUUUUCCACAGCACCACUUGGCCAGUGCCUAGACAAGGCUUCCGAGGCGAUCCGGCAACAUCAGUCUUCAGCCGCUAAGCCAAGAAGAUCUGGGAAGGAGUCAAUCAGAGAGCCUUGGGCCAGAGUUCCAGGGGCUGUGGAAGUGGCUGCCAGGUGAGUUGAACAGUCCGAUUUUCAGUGGGGUCCUACACAGAUGGGACACAGCUUAGGAGGAAUCCUGGGCUGUGGGCAUUCCUUGGCCUAGUGGCCAGAUUUCUGGCACUUGUAGCAAGCUCCUGGGGGAGGAGGUUCUGGAGGAACCCCUGGCAGCUGCGGUUUGGGCGUUUGGAGUUCUUGUGUGCUGGAGAUGUGGCUGGGGUUUGUCUCACAGUGGAGGCAAGAAAUUGCAACUCAGAAAUACAUUGCUACUUGGCUGCCUCUACUCUAUUAUUGUAUAACUUGAAGGUGAGGUUAAUUAAGUCCUGUUGUGAGGUUUGAGGGCCGGAAUUUAAUUUUUGGAGUUUUAUUUAAUGUCAGGAGCGGAUUGGGUAAUAAAAUGUAUAUUGAGAAUAAGACGGCCUUUUGACAUUUUAGGGUCUUGGGCUGUAAAGCGUCUCAGGGUUGCUGCCGAACGAGCCAUGAACUGGGCUGGGUUUUUCAUAUUUGAUGAAAGAGCCUAAAUGCUAACUGAUUUGGGAGAGGUCGGAUAAAGAAAAAGAAGCAUUAACCUUGACUAUGCCUUUAGCUCCAGCCUCCUUUUUAAGAGGAAAUUGCUGGUCAGGUGGAGGAGGGCUAGUCGCGUCGCGGAACGAAACUAUAAGCCGGACUGGGUGUGAGGAGGGGAGGUGAUAAAAGGAUUAUAGGGUGGGGGAGCAGAGGCUGAGGAAGAAUUGGGACCUGGCUUGACCUGGCUUGGCCUGGCGAGGAGCAGCCUGGGGAGGAGGAGAGAGGUCAGAUGGGUCUGUAGAAAAGGAAGAUUAGAAAGACUCAGCGACGCUUGGGGUUGGGACUGAGAGGACAGGCGGGAGGGAAAGAAGGAGGAUUUGGGAUGAGUCACAUUGGGAACAGAGAGUACGGAGAGAACAAUGUGUAAAAGAAUGCCUGGACGUCAGGCACCUCAGACCAUUUGCCCAUUUUACGACAAGAAUUAUCGAGAUCUUGUGGGAUGGAAAAAUCGAAAGUGCCGUUCUGUGGCUAUUUUAGAGCCUUUGUCAAGUUUGUAUUGGGGCCAAGCGGUGUUGCAGAAUAAAAUAAGAUGCUUAGAUUUUAGGUCAGGCGAGAGUUGAAGAGGUUUUAAGUUCUUAAGAACACAGGCUAAGAGAGAAGAAGGAGGAAUGGAGGGUGGAAGGUUGCCCAUAGUGAAGGAGGCAAGUUUAAAGAGAAGGGUAGAGACACGGAGAAGGGGGUGGGGAGCAGCCCUGGGCUGCAACGUGGGUGAGCAGCCAAAGCAGGCGUCCUUGCAAUUGACUUGCCACCAAGGGAACAUGGGCGAAUGAUCAAGGAAGGCACCCCUGCGGAGAUCAGACACCAGUGGAACGUGGGUGAAUAAUCCAAGAGGCAUCUCGGCGAUGAUUAAACACCAAGGUAAGGCUGUCUUCCCGAGUCCGUGACCGGCGCCGGAGUUUUGGGUCCACAGAUAAAAUGUGUCUCCUUUGUCUCUACCCGAAAAUGAAAGGAACUGAAAUUAACAGAAGGGAGAGAUUGAAGUGUGGCGCCAAGCUUGAAAGGAGAAAGAGGUUGAGGGAUAGUGAGGGAGGUUGGAGAAGAGAGUAAAAAGAGGCCGCUUACUGGAUUUGAAAUUGGUGAGAUGUUCCUUGGGCUGGUCAGUCUGAGGACCUGAGGUUGUAGGUGGAUCUUUCUCAUGGAGCAAAGAGUAGGACAGGGGAUUGAUCUCCCAAGGGAGGUCCCCUGAUCCCAGUCACGGCACCAAAUUUCACUCGCGUCCGUGUGAAGAGACCACCAAACAGGAUUUGUGUGAGCAACAAGGCUGUUUAUUUCACCUGGAUGCAGGCGGGCUGAGUCUGAAAAGAGAGUCAGUGAAGGGAGAUAGGGGUGGUGCCGUUUUAUAGGAUUUGGGUAGGUAAAGGAAAAUUAGUCAAAGGGGGUUGUUCUCUGGCUGGCAGGAGUGGGAGGUCACAAGGUGCUCAGUAGGGGAGCUUUUGAGCCAGGAUGAGCCAGGAGAAGGAAUUUCACAAGAUAAUGUCAUCAGUUAAGGCAGGAACAG